AUGAGGAAAUGGGGGGAGGAGAGGGUGGCGCGCAGCGCGGUGUCUUCGGGUCGUCGUCGCGGGCGGCCAGACUUAGCUCGUCGGUGGCCUCUGCCCCCGGCCGCGGAGACAGAUCGGAGGACGGCCUGCCCUCUCUGCAAUAGGAAAGAGAAGGGGAACAUGAGGAAAGAGAAGCGGCCAGGCUCGCGCGGUGGUGGACGCCAUCGCCGGCGGCUCGACCGGACCGGCGUGGCGCGGUCGCCCGGCGACCGGGAAAGCGUCGGGUCGAGAGAGGAUGAACGGCGCGAGAGAAAAGAAUGGGGGCGCUAG
RNAcentral lists this ribosomal RNA (309 nucleotides) under Triticum aestivum (bread wheat). RNAcentral describes it as "partial small subunit ribosomal RNA". Lineage: Eukaryota; Viridiplantae; Streptophyta; Magnoliopsida; Poales; Poaceae. The record is from RNAcentral.